GACGAACGCUGGCGGCGUGCUUAACACAUGCAAGUCGAACGGAAAGGCCCUGCUUUGGUGGGGUGCUCGAGUGGCGAACGGGUGAGUAACAAGUGAGUUACCUGCCCUUGACUUUUGGAUAACUUCAGGAAACUGGGGCUAAUACCGGAUAGGUGCUCCUGCUCCAGUGUGUGGGUAAGAAAGUUUCGGCGGUGGGGUAGAGACUCGCGGCUUAUCAGCUUGUGUGUGGGGUUGUCGCUUACCAAGGUUGUGACGGGUCGCCGGCCUGAGAGGGUGACGGGACACAGUGGGACUGAGACAGGGCACAGUCUCAUACGGGAGGCAGAAGUGGAAUAUUUCACACAGUGCGCAGGAGUGAGGCAGCGACGCCCCGCGCGCGGUAUGACGGCUUGCGUGGUGUAAAGCGUUUUAGCCUGAGACGGCGCGUGAGUGACGGUAAUGGGUAAAGAAGCACCGGCUAACUACGUG
Molecule: ribosomal RNA, 468 nt
Filed under: uncultured bacterium
Lineage: Bacteria
Description: partial 16S ribosomal RNA
Rfam family: Bacterial small subunit ribosomal RNA
Source: RNAcentral